RNAcentral lists this transfer RNA (78 nucleotides) under Pseudomonadota bacterium. RNAcentral's name for it is "tRNA-Glu". It matches the Rfam family "tRNA". Rfam says of the family: Transfer RNA (tRNA) molecules are approximately 80 nucleotides in length. Their secondary structure includes four short double-helical elements and three loops (D, anti-codon, and T loops). Lineage: Bacteria; Pseudomonadati; Pseudomonadota. RNAcentral also lists the same sequence under 3 other names. The record is from RNAcentral.
GUCCCCAUCGUCUAGCCUGGCCUAGGACAUCGCCCUUUCACGGCGGUAACGGGGGUUCGAAUCCCCCUGGGGACGCCA